This 2910-nucleotide ribosomal RNA is filed under the name Staphylococcus aureus. RNAcentral describes it as "bacterial LSU rRNA". It matches the Rfam family "Bacterial large subunit ribosomal RNA". The record is from RNAcentral. Lineage: Bacteria; Bacillati; Bacillota; Bacilli; Caryophanales; Staphylococcaceae.
UUAAGUUAUUAAGGGCGCACGGUGGAUGCCUUGGCACUAGAAGCCGAUGAAGGACGUUACUAACGACGAUAUGCUUUGGGGAGCUGUAAGUAAGCUUUGAUCCAGAGAUUUCCGAAUGGGGAAACCCAGCAUGAGUUAUGUCAUGUUAUCGAUAUGUGAAUACAUAGCAUAUCAGAAGGCACACCCGGAGAACUGAAACAUCUUAGUACCCGGAGGAAGAGAAAGAAAAUUCGAUUCCCUUAGUAGCGGCGAGCGAAACGGGAAGAGCCCAAACCAACAAGCUUGCUUGUUGGGGUUGUAGGACACUCUAUACGGAGUUACAAAGGACGACAUUAGACGAAUCAUCUGGAAAGAUGAAUCAAAGAAGGUAAUAAUCCUGUAGUCGAAAAUGUUGUCUCUCUUGAGUGGAUCCUGAGUACGACGGAGCACGUGAAAUUCCGUCGGAAUCUGGGAGGACCAUCUCCUAAGGCUAAAUACUCUCUAGUGACCGAUAGUGAACCAGUACCGUGAGGGAAAGGUGAAAAGCACCCCGGAAGGGGAGUGAAAUAGAACCUGAAACCGUGUGCUUACAAGUAGUCAGAGCCCGUUAAUGGGUGAUGGCGUGCCUUUUGUAGAAUGAACCGGCGAGUUACGAUUUGAUGCAAGGUUAAGCAGUAAAUGUGGAGCCGUAGCGAAAGCGAGUCUGAAUAGGGCGUUUAGUAUUUGGUCGUAGACCCGAAACCAGGUGAUCUACCCUUGGUCAGGUUGAAGUUCAGGUAACACUGAAUGGAGGACCGAACCGACUUACGUUGAAAAGUGAGCGGAUGAACUGAGGGUAGCGGAGAAAUUCCAAUCGAACCUGGAGAUAGCUGGUUCUCUCCGAAAUAGCUUUAGGGCUAGCCUCAAGUGAUGAUUAUUGGAGGUAGAGCACUGUUUGGACGAGGGGCCCCUCUCGGGUUACCGAAUUCAGACAAACUCCGAAUGCCAAUUAAUUUAACUUGGGAGUCAGAACAUGGGUGAUAAGGUCCGUGUUCGAAAGGGAAACAGCCCAGACCACCAGCUAAGGUCCCAAAAUAUAUGUUAAGUGGAAAAGGAUGUGGCGUUGCCCAGACAACUAGGAUGUUGGCUUAGAAGCAGCCAUCAUUUAAAGAGUGCGUAAUAGCUCACUAGUCGAGUGACACUGCGCCGAAAAUGUACCGGGGCUAAACAUAUUACCGAAGCUGUGGAUUGUCCUUUGGACAAUGGUAGGAGAGCGUUCUAAGGGCGUUGAAGCAUGAUCGUAAGGACAUGUGGAGCGCUUAGAAGUGAGAAUGCCGGUGUGAGUAGCGAAAGACGGGUGAGAAUCCCGUCCACCGAUUGACUAAGGUUUCCAGAGGAAGGCUCGUCCGCUCUGGGUUAGUCGGGUCCUAAGCUGAGGCCGACAGGCGUAGGCGAUGGAUAACAGGUUGAUAUUCCUGUACCACCUAUAAUCGUUUUAAUCGAUGGGGGGACGCAGUAGGAUAGGCGAAGCGUGCGAUUGGAUUGCACGUCUAAGCAGUAAGGCUGAGUAUUAGGCAAAUCCGGUACUCGUUAAGGCUGAGCUGUGAUGGGGAGAAGACAUUGNNNNNNNNNNNNNNNNNNNNNNNNNNNNNNNNNNNNNNNNNGUCUUCGAGUCGUUGAUUUCACACUGCCGAGAAAAGCCUCUAGAUAGAAAAUAGGUGCCCGUACCGCAAACCGACACAGGUAGUCAAGAUGAGAAUUCUAAGGUGAGCGAGCGAACUCUCGUUAAGGAACUCGGCAAAAUGACCCCGUAACUUCGGGAGAAGGGGUGCUCUUUAGGGUUAACGCCCAGAAGAGCCGCAGUGAAUAGGCCCAAGCGACUGUUUAUCAAAAACACAGGUCUCUGCUAAACCGUAAGGUGAUGUAUAGGGGCUGACGCCUGCCCGGUGCUGGAAGGUUAAGAGGAGUGGUUAGCUUCUGCGAAGCUACGAAUCGAAGCCCCAGUAAACGGCGGCCGUAACUAUAACGGUCCUAAGGUAGCGAAAUUCCUUGUCGGGUAAGUUCCGACCCGCACGAAAGGCGUAACGAUUUGGGCACUGUCUCAACGAGAGACUCGGUGAAAUCAUAGUACCUGUGAAGAUGCAGGUUACCCGCGACAGGACGGAAAGACCCCGUGGAGCUUUACUGUAGCCUGAUAUUGAAAUUCGGCACAGCUUGUACAGGAUAGGUAGGAGCCUUUGAAACGUGAGCGCUAGCUUACGUGGAGGCGCUGGUGGGAUACUACCCUAGCUGUGUUGGCUUUCUAACCCGCACCACUUAUCGUGGUGGGAGACAGUGUCAGGCGGGCAGUUUGACUGGGGCGGUCGCCUCCUAAAAGGUAACGGAGGCGCUCAAAGGUUCCCUCAGAAUGGUUGGAAAUCAUUCAUAGAGUGUAAAGGCAUAAGGGAGCUUGACUGCGAGACCUACAAGUCGAGCAGGGUCGAAAGACGGACUUAGUGAUCCGGUGGUUCCGCAUGGAAGGGCCAUCGCUCAACGGAUAAAAGCUACCCCGGGGAUAACAGGCUUAUCUCCCCCAAGAGUUCACAUCGACGGGGAGGUUUGGCACCUCGAUGUCGGCUCAUCGCAUCCUGGGGCUGUAGUCGGUCCCAAGGGUUGGGCUGUUCGCCCAUUAAAGCGGUACGCGAGCUGGGUUCAGAACGUCGUGAGACAGUUCGGUCCCUAUCCGUCGUGGGCGUAGGAAAUUUGAGAGGAGCUGUCCUUAGUACGAGAGGACCGGGAUGGACAUACCUCUGGUGUACCAGUUGUCGUGCCAACGGCAUAGCUGGGUAGCUAUGUGUGGACGGGAUAAGUGCUGAAAGCAUCUAAGCAUGAAGCCCCCCUCAAGAUGAGAUUUCCCAACUUCGGUUAUAAGAUCCCUCAAAGAUGAUGAGGUUAAUAGGUUCGAGGUGGAAG